This 429-nucleotide ribosomal RNA is filed under the name Verrucomicrobiota bacterium. Its description in RNAcentral is "Verrucomicrobia bacterium partial 16S ribosomal RNA". It matches the Rfam family "Bacterial small subunit ribosomal RNA", at positions 355 to 776 of the family's 1533-position model. Lineage: Bacteria; Pseudomonadati; Verrucomicrobiota. The record is from RNAcentral.
UAGGGAAUCUUCCGCAAUGGACGAAAGUCUGACGGAGCAACGCCGCGUGAGUGAAGAAGGAUUUCGGUUCGUAAAACUCUGUUGUUAGGGAAGAAAAAAUGUAUAGUAACUAUAUACAAAAGAGACGGUACCUAACCAGAAAGCCACGGCUAACUACGUGCCAGCAGCCGCGGUAAUACGUAGGUGGCAAGCGUUGUCCGGAAUUAUUGGGCGUAAAGCGCGCGCAGGUGGGUUAGAAAGUCUGAUGUGAAAGCCCACGGCUCAACCGUGGAGGGUCAUUGGAAACUAAUAAACUUGAGUGCAGGAGAGAAAAGUGGAAUUCCUAGUGUAGCGAUGAAAUGCGUAGAGAUUAGGAGGAACACCGGUGGCGAAAGCGGCUUUUUGGCCUGCAACUGACACUGAGGCGCGAAAGCGUGGGGAGCAAACAGG